GCUCUUCAUUCAUAUUCAGACUCAUAAAUGUUAUUGUAGACAGAUAAGAGAAAAACAUGUUAUACUAUAGUGUAUGAAUUUCUCAGUUUUGUGUUUGCAGUAAAUGUACUCUGAUAGUAUAUUCAACCUGUCUUCCUCACGGAAUUAAAUCUAAAUUGUUGGUAAGAAGAAUAUAAUCAACGUUAUGUAAAAUCUUUAUGACUUUGUCUUAAUUCCUCGGUGGCGUCGGUAUUUGAUGAGCUGGGUCAUUUGUUGUAGUCAUUUGAAAAAGAACAGCUUUAAACCUUUUUUUUACCCAGACAGGUUUAAAUUAGCCAAAUGAAUUAUCUUACUCCAAUUUCCCUCCAAUUAAGCCAAUAUAUCAUACAAGUGUGUGCAGAAAAUGUUGUCUUUUCUACAAUAAUAUGACCUUGAUGAUUAAUUACCGGUUUUAAGGAAUUUG
RNAcentral lists this long non-coding RNA (442 nucleotides) under Mytilus galloprovincialis (Mediterranean mussel). Lineage: Eukaryota; Metazoa; Mollusca; Bivalvia; Mytilida; Mytilidae. The record is from RNAcentral.